RNAcentral lists this ribosomal RNA (425 nucleotides) under uncultured bacterium. Its description in RNAcentral is "partial 16S ribosomal RNA". It matches the Rfam family "Bacterial small subunit ribosomal RNA", at positions 354 to 796 of the family's 1533-position model. The record is from RNAcentral.
GUGGGGAAUCUUGCGCAAUGGGCGAAAGCCUGACGCAGCCAUGCCGCGUGAAUGAUGAAGGUCUUAGGAUUGUAAAAUUCUUUCACCGGGGACGAUAAUGACGGUACCCGGAGAAGAAGCCCCGGCUAACUUCGUGCCAGCAGCCGCGGUAAUACGAAGGGGGCUAGCGUUGCUCGGAAUUACUGGGCGUAAAGGGCGCGUAGGCGGACAGUUUAGUCAGAGGUGAAAGCCCAGGGCUCAACCUUGGAAUUGCCUUUGAUACUGGCUGUCUUGAGUACGGGGGAGGUGAGUGGAACUCCGAGUGUAGAGGUGAAAUUCGUAGAUAUUCGGAAGAACACCAGUGGCGAAGGCGACUCACUGGCCCGUUACUGACGCUGAGGCGCGAAAGCGUGGGGAGCAAACAGGAUUAGAAACCCCUGUAGUCC